NCCAUCGGCCAAACCACUUUGAAUACCUCGGUUCUCGUCCGAUCAUCGAAGCUUAACAACGGUAGGCACGCGAGGUACUUGGAAGGAAGACUGCGUGCCAACACCGGGUGUUGAUGGCA
Molecule: ribosomal RNA, 119 nt
Organism: Tropilaelaps mercedesae
Lineage: Eukaryota; Metazoa; Arthropoda; Arachnida; Mesostigmata; Laelapidae
Source: Rfam